CUUUUUUUUUUGGAUUGCACAAAUUUAUUAAAAUUGGAGACAUUGUUUUAAUCUUCUUGUGCCAUGAGACUCCAUCAGGCUGUCUACAAAGACCAUUGGGAGGCUAAGGAUCACUUGAGCCCAGGAGUUCGAGGCUACAGUAAGCCUCAAAGGGCCACUGCACUCCAGCUUAGGUGAGGCAAGACCCUUUCAAGUGGUCUGCCUGCAUUUCUUCAAGCAUGAAUUCUGAGUCCUUUGCUUCUUUAAAACUUGUUCCACACAGUGUAGUCAAGCCGACUGUGUUG
RNAcentral lists this long non-coding RNA (284 nucleotides) under Homo sapiens (human). Its description in RNAcentral is "HSALNT0010519". Lineage: Eukaryota; Metazoa; Chordata; Mammalia; Primates; Hominidae. The record is from RNAcentral.